AGUGAACGCUGGCGGUAGGCCUAACACAUGCAAGUCGAACGGCAGCACAGGAGAGCUUGCUCUCUGGGUGGAGAGUGGCGGACGGGUGAGGAAUACAUCGGAAUCUGCCCAGUCGUGGGGGAUAACGUAGGGAAACUUACGCUAAUACCGCAUACGACCUUCGGGUGAAAGAGGGGGAUCGCAAGACCUCUCGCGAUUGGAUGAGCCGAUGUCGGAUUAGCUAGUUGGCGGGGUAAUGGCCCACCAAGGCGACGAUCCGUAGCUGGUCUGAGAGGAUGAUCAGCCACACUGGAACUGAGACACGGUCCAGACUCCUACGGGAGGCAGCAGUGGGGAAUAUUGGACAAUGGGCGCAAGCCUGAUCCAGCCAUACCGCGUGGGUGAAGAAGGCCUUCGGGUUGUAAAGCCCUUUUGUUGGGAAAGAAAUCUUUCAGGCUAAUACCCUGGGAGGAUGACGGUACCCAAAGAAUAAGCACCGGCUAACUUCGUG
Molecule: ribosomal RNA, 490 nt
Filed under: uncultured bacterium
Lineage: Bacteria
Description: partial 16S ribosomal RNA
Rfam family: Bacterial small subunit ribosomal RNA
Source: RNAcentral